Long non-coding RNA from Manihot esculenta (cassava), 6225 nucleotides. RefSeq lists it as uncharacterized. NCBI's taxonomy places the organism in Eukaryota, Viridiplantae, Streptophyta, Magnoliopsida, Malpighiales, Euphorbiaceae. The transcript has 4 exons. The record is from RefSeq and is a predicted model, not a curated record.
AUUUGCAGCGGCUCGAGUGAUGGAUAAGGAGCAAGCGGGGAGGCACGUAAAUGAGUUAAAUAGGAGAGAAGGAGGAAGUGGGAGACGAGACGAAAGAGAGGGUGUGGAAGUUAAGAACAGGGUUUUAAAUGUCUCCAAGAUAAAUACGUUUUGAGGAUUUUUGGCAAGCCAUCAUGGGUUAAUUUUGGGCUUCGGCCCAAAAAGGGAGCUCCUUUUUUCUUGCCCGUCUGGAAGCACCACAGGCUCUUGCACUGCCAUAACUGACGAGGGUCUGGAGGUAGAAGAAUGAUGAUCCUCGAUGGUCUCCGCCAGCUCUGUCGACCCAAAUUUCAGGUUCUGCCCAAUGUUGGAGAAUCAAGCCUUAUACAGGGAGAAUAGAUUGAUUUUGUUGAGAGGCUCUUCGCGAUUGAGAGUUGAAGAAUUACAGAGGAAAGUUGAACUUGGGAAAUUGAGCGACUGGAGUGACAUAUAACCGUCAAGGAUUAAGAUGCUCGCAAGAAAAUGACAAUGUAUGGCAGGCUCCUAUGUGACACAUGCUGGUAGUAGGUAGUGACUGCUGAUUGCCAGCCUGCCACCAUUAUAUUUGUAGCAUUUAAAAAUGCCAUGAAUGGAAAUAAUGGUCAAAGGUGCGUUGUUUACAGCUUAUUCAGAAAUCUUGAAUUGGGGAUAAGUAAAUUUUGCCAAAUUUCUUGUCUUUGAACCGUUUUAUUUUGCUGUAAAAUUUCAUUCAAAUGGGAGAAGAAAUGAGGAAGUUUGAUUAUCUAAAAAAGAAUUAGGCAAAGGAGGUUGAGUUUUGCAAGAGUUGAUGGGUCUGUUCUAAAAACCCAAAAUCUUCUCUUGAUUAUAUAGGUUGGGUCCUGUCUUGAUCACAUGGGGGAGGGUCAUAUGACAACCUCAACACUUUCUAGCAAUAGAAUUCAAUUGAAUCCUAGUUCUCACAUAGGCUUUAUUUGGAAUAAAUCAUAUGAAGUUGAAGUCAAAUGAAUACUUGUAGAGUCAUGCAAUUAAUCUUUCAUUUCAAACAUUAGAAUUCGUAAAAAAGAAAACAAUUGGAUUGAAUUUUUACAAAUUUCUUCGUUGCAAACAUGGUGAUAUAGAUUUAUUGCCAAAUGAAUUGAAUUCAGUUCAAAACUACUUGAAUCAUAUAUAUAAUUUAUUGUUUCCAUUUCUCAUUCAAGAACUUCAUCAAUAGAUUGUAAUGGGAAGGUGAUAUGCUUUCCUUCUAUAGCACAUUGAAUUGUUUGUCUUCUUUUUUUUCUUUUCCCUCAAGUCUGAAUCAUGGUUUAUAUGGCCAUAUUUUCAAUGCAAAGAUUUUAAUUUUACACUUGAAAACAGUGGGAAGUUGUCUGUGGUAAUUUCAAACUUUUUCUAGUUGCUUCUUUGUGCAUUAAGGCCUUUAUACUGUAAAGGCUCAUUGUUUCAGUUAAGUGUGCUUGAAUAGGAUCUCGUCACUGGUCAAUUAACUAGAAAAUCCUCCUUUUGUCAUAUUGAUUUUCUCUUGUUAAUAUUUUCUGAAUGUCCGCUGUUAAUGUUUGAGAGAAUUCUCAUAUCUCAUAAACUGAUGAAUAAUUUUCUGAAUGAUUUAUUCAAUGAUUUCAGUGUCUUUUUAUAAUGAAGGCUAUAUUCAUAUUACAUCAACAUUUGAAUUUAAAUUACUUUCUAUCUUCUAUUAAAAUUUAAAAAUUAAAAAUAACAAUUAAAAAAUCAAACUAGAGAUAAGUUAAGAUAUCUUAUUUGUUGUAACCACUUUGAUCAGAAUUUGUCAAAGAGGAUAAUGCACAUCUACAACGUUAUCCCCUUCUUGGAGAAAAAGCUUGUCCUCAGUCAUCAAAUAAUAGGAUCUAACUCUACCCAAAAUCAUUUUUUUGCACUGAUGUUAACAAAAUAUGGCUCAUUACAAUUGCAGUAAAGGCCUUUAGCUCGACGUUCAACCAUUUAUAUCCUGCUAAAUCGUUUCACAAAUGGAGUUGAGGUACCUUUGACACUUGAAGAUGCUAUAUUACUAUUUCCUUUAGACUCAUGAGUUAAACUGUCAGUAGAUGGUGCAGACCCUUGAAAUGACUCAUAAGUUGUUAUCAUCCAACCCAGCUGUUGUUUCUUUUCAAAUGUUUAUAGCAAAAUUCAUUAUUGUAACUAAACUAGAGGGUUUUGUAGUUUCACCUCAAGCCGAAUAGUCUCAGACAAUCUUGCAGUAAAAAAGUCAACUCGUUGGUUGAUAAUCUUCUAUUGGUCCAACUUGCUUCAAAUUCACCAACUCCCCCAAAGGAUUGCUAUGCAAAGGACGACUAAAUCGCAAGUUACAGUUCUCCUUAUGCCAUGUCAUCCCAGGUUCUUCCUGUUCAAGUCUGUAAAACUAGAAUUGAGCCUCACCAAUAAGAUGAAGGCGUCGUUCGUUGAUUGUGAAAAAAUUAUUCACGACGGUUAAGCCAUUUAAGUGGAUAAUUAGAGCCAUCAAAUGAGGGAAAGUCAAGUUUUGUAUAUCUAGGCAACAUGCACCCUUCAGAACAAUCAUUAUUUUGGCUGGACAAGGUUCUGUUUGCUGCUACUGGUUCCAUCUUGGUUUUGUUUGCUUCCAAACUUGAUGAGCUAAGUCAUUGAAUCUAGCAUCGUUUUGUUGCAUGAAAGAGUUUAGCUUCUCUUUCAGAUUUGUUGAAUCACCCAAGAUGACUAGCUUUGAUACCAAAUUGUUUAAUUGCCCUUAAAUAGGAUUUCGUCAUUAAAUGGAAAAUCCCUCUUUGGCCAAACUGAUUUUCCAUUUUCAAUGUUUCUGCUUUCUUAGAGGAACGUUCCUAUUGUGAAAUAAAUUGAGGAUUCAUUUGAGAGAAUCCUUUGAUCUCAUAAUUUUCUGAAUAUUUUACUCUAUGAUCUCAUCCCUUUUUAUAGUGAAGGCUACAUUCAGAUUACAUCAAUAUUUGAAUUCAAAAUACUUCCUAUCUUCUAUUAAAAUUUAAAAAUUAAACUAAAGAUAACAAUUAAAAAAAAUCAAACUAGAGGUAACAAGAUACUGGUCUUAUUUGUUGCAACCAUUUUGAUUAGAAUCUAUCAAUUAGAAGGAUAAUGUAUAUCCACAACACUGUCCCUCUUUUGUUGGUUAACAUUAUGAUUCUAGUGUCUCCAGCUAACUAGCCAAGUUGGAAAGAGAGCUUUCUAUGCUACUUUACUCAAGCUGGUAAUGAAAUUUAUUUUUCCAUCAGAUUUUCCUGUAAACCAUAGCAUGGUCUUCAGCUUGAUUCAUAAAUUACACACUAUACGUGGUAACUUUUAGAAUUUUUUUUCAUUCCUUAUACAUUUGUAUCUUAUUAAUAUUAUUUUAGUAAAUUCCUUUUAUAGCAUGGAUUCGAGUCAUAUUGCUACUUUCUUUCUUCUGCUUUUCUUUUUUUUUUUUUUUUGAAAAAAAAAAUUGCAUAUCAUAGCACCAUAUGCCAUUGUUGACAACCUGAUACAGCAACCCCAUAAUCGUGAUGCACGAAUUAAAAAUGAACUACCAUUUCCAUAGAUUCUACAUCCAAAAAUAUUAAUUUUCAUAAAGUAAUUCUUAAAAUGAGUUAACUCAUGAGAAAUAAGAUCAACCAUUAAAUUAUGCUACUGCAUAGUGAGUAGGCUGGAAAUUAGUUGAGCUUUAGUUAUUAGUGAUUUCUGCUGAGCAUUUUUCACUUUAAAUUUGUGAUGAUGUUUGUGAAUUUAAUUCAUUUCGUGCUUUAGCUAGUCCUUGAUAUGAAUUACUUCCAUUGCCUCGGUGUGUUUAGGCUUCUUGAGGAAAUGUUUUGUCAUAAAGGUCUUUGAUCAUAUCAGAUUUCCAAUUUACACAUCUAUAGCUUAUGGUCGUUGAUAUAUACUCAUCUGGUCCUAAAUGUGCAUAGCAUUUAUUAAGGGUGCUCACGAUUUGGUAUUAUCCAUUGAACCCGACUGACCCCAACCAAAUCGAACCAAUAAAUCAAGUUGAACCAUGAGGUCAAGUCGGUUUGGAUAGUUUGAGUUAAAAAUUAUUAUCUGUUGUCAGUUGAACCAUGAGGCCAAGUCGGUCAAGUCAAGUUGAACCAAUACCCACCGCACAUACUUUUUUUUUUUUGGGUUUUCAUCUGAUAUGUGGACUUUAUUCAUAACAUAUGCAGUGUCUUUGGCUCCUAUUGAUCUAUGCAUUUCUAGGUAUAUCUUUUUGUUUGUUGCAGGCAUUUUAUACUCUAGUAGUGAUGAUCAUUCCAAUAUUAAUGGCUUUCUCUAAAUUAGAAUUCGUGAUAAUCGUUUUAUACUAACUAUAUUUUGUCUUAAUUAGUAUAUAUGCAUUUCCAAUGUGAUUUGAGCAUGAAUAAAUUUAAUUUUCUUGCUUUACUUUUAUUUAAGUCACAGGUCAUUUAUAGCAUCAUCCUUUGUAUCCGUUGCCUUUCAUGCUUUAUUUCCCUUUGCAGAUCCACUUGGUUUAAUGGAGUGGUACUAUUAUAAUCUCAUAGAUUCUUGAUUUAUAGUAAGCUUUAGGAUUUUCACUCUUGCAUUAAGGACAAGCUGUAGUUGUUAUUAUUAUUAAAUGUAAACCAUAAACACUUGCACAAAUGUAUACUAUAAACACUAAGAUCCUGCUAAAAUGACAAUAUAUUAUUGUUAUUAUUAUUAUUAUAAUAUUGUUAAUUUCUUGAAAAAUUUGAUUUAGCUGAGAGAUUGUGAAACAAAAAAGGGCAAAUCAAGAAUAGAGGCUGAAGCAAUUCUCUCUUGAUGUUUAUUCGAGAAGAAUGUAUUUAAAUACAGUUCUAUGGACUAUUCUAGAAAUGUAUACGUUACAGCAGAAAACAUGUGAGCUAAGAUAAAGAAAAAGAUUCUUCUCUUAUUUGUGUAGCUGGCACAGAGAUGAAAAAAAAUGUGAUUUUCUUGUGCUCUCCGUUUUAAUGAUAAAUGAAAUGCACCAUUUUGAAUAAGUGAGAGAGCACUGCACACCAUUUUGGCUGUUUGUUACAUUGUAUCAGAUUGUUUGGUGGAAUGUCUCAGAGACAUUUUUUUUUCCUUUCCAUGUUUAUCUAGAUUAGGAUUAUCUUGCUUUGCUUUUAUUCAAGUAUUUUUAAUUGUGUUUUGGUGUAAUCCUUUGAAAUAAUCUUACUUUGAAAUUCUCAAUUCAAUGUAGACAACUCCAAAUUUAUAGAGUCUAGCUUAUUCUCAUGUAGUUUCUUCAUUUUUUGUGUGUGCACGCACUUUCUCUUAUUGAUGGAGCUGUAAGGACUAAAAUUUGACAUGACAGGUACCCCAAAUCCUGGGAAAAAAAUAAGAAAUAUUAGCUUAUAGGUGGGACUCGAAGACCAAAGCAUUUCAAGUACACAGUAACAAAUCUUCUAUUCAGUUACGUAGUGACCUACACCAAUAUGAGGCGAUGAUGAUGGUCAAUUUUGAUUAGAAAAGUUGCUCAUAAAGAAUUCAAAUUCAAUCAAUUUUGUGCAAAAUGAAAAUGGCUAGGCAAAAUUAUGGUCGCAAGCAAAAAAUAAGGAUGAGAGAUGACUAGUAUUGAUGUGACGACAAAAUGUGUGUUCAUUUUAUUUGGAGUUUGAUGAAUUAUUUCCACAUCUCUUUCUCUUUUGUAAUUUUUCAUGGCAAGUUUGGUGUUGGUUUUUAAAUUGAUGGUGGGGUUGCAGCUUCUCGGUCCAAGGCUCUGUGCUAGAUUUCUUUGAGCAAUGAAAGUGCUUAGGUUGUAUCAACUUUCAAACAGGCUUCUGGACUAACUUAUAUACGCUGUUAUCUCCUCACUUUGGUUGGCUAGAAAUGAAAGAGUGUUUAGUAAUGAGGAGUCUUCAUUUGAUUCUUUAUGCAUCUUGAUUCUUCAUAGGGUGUCAUUAUGGUUGAAGGCUUUUAAAGAGGGAUUUACCCUUUUCCAGCUUUGAUCUUUUGGUUUCUACAGAAUUUCCAGAGUUAUAUCAACCAACGAUUAGGGAGUAGCAAUCUGCAAGAUUUAUAAGUAAAUUGAGGCUAUUAAUAUAUUUUAUUUUGGACAAUCGGUUAAUCCAACUUUUGAACAGCUCUAUCAUUUGUGCUUAUAAGAAAGAGAAUUUCAUAGUGGAUGUCUGCUUUGAGAAUUGGAUUCAGGAUUAUUCAGGAGAAUGUAUCUACUGGGGAAACAAUUGCAUAAACAGGCUACAAAUCUUACUAAGCUGACCUGAGCAGCUCCACAACUGCUCCACAAGGCCAGUAACUUACAUGCAUUUUUUGCUAAAUACCUUUUCCCUUGUGUCCUAUGAUUUUUUUUUUUUC